AACGCGAAGAACCUUACCUGGUCUUGACAUCCCAGGAACCCUUCAGAGAUGAGGGGGUGCCUUCGGGAACCUGGAGACAGGUGCUGCAUGGCUGUCGUCAGCUCGUGUCGUGAGAUGUUGGGUUAAGUCCCGCAACGAGCGCAACCCUCGUCCUAUGUUGCCAGCGGGUAAUGCCGGGGACUCAUAGGAGACUGCCGGGGUCAACUCGGAGGAAGGUGGGGAUGACGUCAAGGUCAUCAUGCCCCUUAAGUCUUGGGCUGCAAACAUGCUACAAUGGCCGGUACAGAGGGCUGCGAGACCGCAAGGUGGAGCGAAUCUCAAAAAGCCGGUCUCAGUUCGGAUUGGGGUCUGCAACUCGACCCCAUGAAGUCGGAGUCGCUAGUAAUCGCGAAUCAGCAACGUCGCGGUGAAUACGUUCCCGGGCCUUGUACACACCGCAUAC
RNAcentral lists this ribosomal RNA (442 nucleotides) under uncultured bacterium. RNAcentral describes it as "bacterial SSU rRNA". It matches the Rfam family "Bacterial small subunit ribosomal RNA", at positions 958 to 1397 of the family's 1533-position model. The record is from RNAcentral.